UACGUAGGGGGCAAGCGUUGUCCGGAAUCAUUGGGCGUAAAGCGCGUGUAGGCGGCUUGGCAAGUCUGGUGUGAAAUCUUGGGGCUCAACCCCAAGCGUGCACUGGAAACUGCCUCGCUAGAGUCCGGGAGAGGAGAGCAGAACUCCCAGUGUAGCGGUGAAAUGCGCAGAUAUUGGGAAGAACACCGAUGGCGAAGGCAGCUCUCUGGAACGGUACUGACGCUGAGACGCGAAAGCGUGGGGAGCGAACAGGAUUAGAUACCCUGGUAGUCCACGCCGUAAACGAUGGGCACUAGAUGUGGGCGGUGUCGACUCCGCCCGUGUCGAAGCUAACGCAUUAAGUGCCCCGCCUGGGGAGUACGGCCGCAAGGCUA
RNAcentral lists this ribosomal RNA (374 nucleotides) under uncultured Gaiellaceae bacterium. RNAcentral describes it as "bacterial SSU rRNA". It matches the Rfam family "Bacterial small subunit ribosomal RNA", at positions 524 to 896 of the family's 1533-position model. Lineage: Bacteria; Bacillati; Actinomycetota; Thermoleophilia; Gaiellales; Gaiellaceae. The record is from RNAcentral.